UACGGAGGGUGCGAGCGUUGUCCGGAAUCACUGGGCGUAAAGGGCGCGUAGGCGGCUCAUGAAGGCUGUGGUGAAAGUCCGGGGCUCAACCUCGGAUCGGCCGUGGCGACUCGUGGGCUGGAGCACUGUAGAGGCGGGUGGAAUUCCGGGUGUAGCGGUGGAGUGCGUAGAGAUCCGGAAGAACACCAGUGGCGAAGGCGGCCCGCUGGGCAGUGGCUGACGCUGAGGCGCGACAGCGUGGGGAGCAAACAGG
RNAcentral lists this ribosomal RNA (253 nucleotides) under uncultured bacterium. Its description in RNAcentral is "partial 16S ribosomal RNA". It matches the Rfam family "Bacterial small subunit ribosomal RNA", at positions 524 to 776 of the family's 1533-position model. The record is from RNAcentral.